This is a long non-coding RNA of Falco peregrinus (peregrine falcon), 3283 nucleotides long. RefSeq lists it as uncharacterized. Lineage: Eukaryota; Metazoa; Chordata; Aves; Falconiformes; Falconidae. The transcript has 3 exons. The record is from RefSeq and is a predicted model, not a curated record.
UCUGCAAGUGAGCUGGAAAGUGUCUGUUAAAAAGGAAUAGCUCAACUGAAACAAAUUUCUCUGGCUUUUGUCUCCAAGUGAACUGCACUGUGAAAGGACAUGAAAUGUGAAUGCACUGCCGAAGACGUUUACAGUAAAAGAUAAGAACGCUGUGUGACUGAAAACCAGAUUUGGGACUGAUCUCACCUAGUAUUGGAGAUCUAUCUCUGGAUAGUUACCCCAACAUUUUUGGGACUCCAUGGAGAGGAACAGGUGGGUUUGGGUGCAAUUUAUCUGACCUGUUUUAGAGGAGUUGUGACUCAGAGGUGACUGCUGCUCUCACUAACUAUGAAGAGGGUGUCUUGGGUCAGAGGAGUGCAAGAAAUUAUAUUUCACUAUUAGGUUUUGUUUUCAAUGCCCAACUGGGUUUGUGACCUAAGCCCAUUUCUUUAUUCAUAGAAGAGAUUUGGUUGUUUGGGGUUUUCUUUAAUUAAAAAAGAGCGUUAGAGCCAUGUGCCCAAAAGCUGGAAUGCUGCCACUCUGGUGCUUUUAGUGUGGAGAUUAGAAGAACAGUAGGUCGUAUUCCCUGUCUUUUUACUAAUAAAUGGUUAGCUGGAUUGUCCAACUACAUCACAAUUUCUGGGGUUUUUCUUGUCAGAUUAGCUAAGAAAGGCUACUAUUGUACGCAUAAUGUAUUGACCAGGUAACCCCUCCAAGUGAAGGAGGCUUGGAGCACAACUCCUGGCAAAAAGUAUAUCAGGAUUUCCAAAUGAAAAUACUUUCAUUUCUUACAUUUUGCUUUUUAUUUGAAAUUUGCAUGAAAAUAUAUUUUAAUGAAUACAUUACAGAAGUCUACCUUGUAUCCCAGUCCCAGGGGGAAAAAUAGUUUGUGUUGUAAUCCAGUCCAAAGUAACCAUGAUGAAUGAAAUUUCAAGCCUAAUUCAUACUUUAAAAAAUGCUAAAUUCAGCCAACAUAAAUGGUUUUAUGGUAAACAUUGAUUGUUCUGUAGAGUUGUUUUGUUCAAGAAAAGCAACUCACAUAAGUAAACCAAUAUACUUACUCAAAAGUCUUUUGAUGGAAAAGCAAGGCACUGUUUAAAUAACUGUAUUUUUUGCUAGCUAGACAAAGUUUUGACUUUUCAUUGGAAAACCAGAAUAUUUUAAUGAAAAUUGUUCUCCCUAGGGAUGAGAAACAUCUCCCACUUUUAUGUAAAUUUGUAUUUUCUAAAUAAAAAGAGCAGCUGUUGUGCAGCUUCUAAGAAGUGUGAAACAGUUUUCUUCUUUUCUAAGCCACUGCAGAUUUCACUAUGGCAAAAGUAAGCAGUUUAUUAGAUUAAGUUAACUUAGAUUAUUCAGACUAUUUUACAGUUAAAGCUGUUGAAAACAUCACAGAUCUUAAUUACUGGUUAUCACAGACUUGUAACAAAUUUGCAGUUAUUAUUUCUUUCAGAAAGUCUGGUCUCUCUAUCUUACCACCUCGGAAGAGCAGCAGGAUGUGAAUGUUACACACACGCUCACGACUUCAGGUCAUGCUUCUGGUUCGUGUUGCCUCCUUGCUACUGGCUGCUCUUGUCUAUGUUCCUCCUGCCACACCAGGCUGUGUUUUGGCGUAAAUGCGUUGUGGGCUGGAGGUCGUUUGAGGCCCUGUGCUCUUCAAGCCAAUGGGUCUCUUUAGCACAAACACUCACAAACACUGCAUUUUCUGGUCAUCAAUAAAAUGCCUACAGUAUGUGGGCACUGAACAAGUGGGUGAGGAUAAAACCAAAAAUUUUGUAGGUCUCAGUGAGGGAAGAAAAAGGUAGAUCUAUGGCAUAAGAAUUAACGACACACUGGACGUACUCAGAAGACAUACUUCAAGAAAUGUUGACCUUUUUUUUUUUUUUUUUUUUUUUUUUUGACCACAUUUGCUCAAAAAAUGACCACAAUUGACCAAAUGUGGACAACUGACCAAGAAAAGGAGACCAAUGAGAAGAGAAGAAGGAAGAUGCUGCUUCCAGUGGGGAGCUUCUCCAACAUGACACCCUGCUCUACUGCUACUUUUUUUUUUUUUUUUAAAUAUCUUUUAUAAUCUGACAAAGACCACCUAUUGACAUAAGAGGACAGGUUUUGUAUGGCAGGAAACACUGUAUAGGCACCGAUUACAGAAAUAAACUGUGUUGUGGAUGUGAUCUUAAAUACAUAUUUCUGGUUUCAUAAACAGCCUUCCUUCAUUUGUUGAGCGAUGAAAGACCACUAAGAUCUCAUCGGUCCGAAAAGGGAGAUGUGAAACCCUUUGCUGAUGGAUCUUUGCCAAGGGAGGUGGCAGGAGGGCAUGGGAAGGGAAAGAAGUGAGACAAAGACAUUGCAGGUGUGGAGAAAGGAGUUGUCUUUGUGUGUGUCAGAACAUGUCAGGUUACAGGAGGAAUGACGAAAUACAUUGGUGUUGGGAAAGUUACAGAUCCAGAAAUUACCAUCUACAGAUGGUUAGUGUAACAAGAGACUGCUGAUGAACGCUUGCGUUGGUGAAGUUCGUAGCAGUCUUGCCACUUGCUGCUGUGUGACUCAAGAUUUCCAUACAUUUCUGUGAUACAAGAAGGUGUUUGAAACUUGAUUUCUUUUGUCAUAAUCUGAAUGACCAGAAGAGAACCCAAUGAAAUAACUAGCAGAAAAGUAGCUGCCUGCAUAGAAGGAAAAAGAUUUUAAAGUGAGGCAUUUAUUGGAUGGCACAACCAGAAAUGAGCAGAGGGAAAGUACAAUACCCUUCCUCCCUACCUUCCUUGUGCAGCUGGACUCUACAGGAGGGUGGCUUGGAGAAUGAAGUAGCAAGCAUAGUCAAAGCUCUGUCACAAACUGAGUCCCUAAUGAAUAUCUAGUUCCUUAUUACCAGCCUUGCCUCUCCACGGGUGUUUUGGUGUUGUGCGUUUCUUAAAAAUUUCUGUGUCAGGUUAAAGUAACACAAAAGUUAGCUUUCUGCUACGUCUAGCAGAAGCAAACAUAUUAGCUCAACAAGAAAGUAAACAUGGGCACUUUAAAUCAUUAAUUCCAACUAGGGAUUCCAAAUCUUGCUUAAACUUUUUUUAGUUUUUUUCCUAGUCUGUGUAUCUGUAGUGUGACAUCUUUACAAUGCAAACCCUCUGUCACCUGUUCCAUAUGAUUAGUGUUUGAGAUGAUUUUCAGUGUCAGGUUGUGCAGGUUUUGGCUCACAAGAAGAGGCUAUUUAAACUUCUCCAUAUAGUCAAUGAUGCAGAUUACUCAUAGGAAAAAAGGACUGAGAGAUGGAAAAAGUUAGUAAUAUUUCCAGGCAAGUGGGCUUUCAAAACUGAUG